UUAAUAUUGAGGUUUUGGUUCAGAGAAGUGGAUAUUGAGGAUCAUGGCUGGAUAUAUUUAAUAUUAAGGAAAUAU
Pangasianodon gigas (Mekong giant catfish) is the source of this 75-nucleotide non-coding RNA. Lineage: Eukaryota; Metazoa; Chordata; Actinopteri; Siluriformes; Pangasiidae. The record is from the annotation of a GenBank genome assembly.